This 72-nucleotide transfer RNA is filed under the name Bos taurus (domestic cattle). It matches the Rfam family "tRNA". Rfam says of the family: Transfer RNA (tRNA) molecules are approximately 80 nucleotides in length. Lineage: Eukaryota; Metazoa; Chordata; Mammalia; Artiodactyla; Bovidae. The record is from Rfam by way of RNAcentral. RNAcentral also lists the same sequence under 2 other names.
UCCCUGGUGGCUCAGACGGUAAAGCGUCUGCCUGCAAUGCAGGAGACCCGGGUUCUAUUUCUGGGUCGGGAA